This 432-nucleotide ribosomal RNA is filed under the name uncultured bacterium. Its description in RNAcentral is "partial 16S ribosomal RNA". It matches the Rfam family "Bacterial small subunit ribosomal RNA", at positions 29 to 506 of the family's 1533-position model. The record is from RNAcentral.
AACGAACGCUGGCGGCAUGCCUAACACAUGCAAGUCGAACGAGACCUUCGGGUCUAGUGGCGCACGGGUGCGUAACGCGUGGGAACCUGCCCUUAGGUUCGGAAUAACUCCCCGACAGGGGUGCUAAUACCGGAUAAUGUCUUCGGACCAAAGAUUUAUCGCCUUUGGAUGGGCCCGCGUUGGAUUAGCUAGUUGGUAGGGUAAAAGCCUACCAAGGCGACGAUCCAUAGCUGGUCUGAGAGGAUGAUCAGCCACACUGGGACUGAGACACGGCCCAGACUCCUACGGGAGGGAGCAGUGGGGAAUAUUGGACAAUGGGCGAAAGCCUGAUCCAGCAAGGCCGCGUGAGUGAUGAAGGCCUUAGGGUUGUAAAGCGCUUUUACCCGGGAUGAUAAUGACGGUACCGGGAGAAUAAGCUCCGGCUAACUCCGU